RNAcentral lists this long non-coding RNA (649 nucleotides) under Salmo salar (Atlantic salmon). RNAcentral's name for it is "lncRNA (ENSSSAG00000089124.1)". Lineage: Eukaryota; Metazoa; Chordata; Actinopteri; Salmoniformes; Salmonidae. The record is from RNAcentral.
UUAGAAUCCAAGGAAGUUGACAUGUCAUCACUUCAUUUUUUUGCGCCUGCGCAUAAAUCUGAGAAACGUGAGUUUUGUCUUCAUUGUUUAUCUCGACAUAGGAUAGGUUGUGUGAAAAUAUUACUGAUGUUUAACGUUAAAAAUGGACCAAAAGAUUAAUGCUAAACAACAUUUGACAUGUUUGAACGAACAUAAAUAGAUUAUUUACUAGGUUUUUUUAGCUUUUCGGCGUGAUUUUACAGUCCCCCACCACGUUUUGUGGGAGCAUAAUGAACGCUAAGUACUUGGUGUUAUUUGGACAUAAAUUAUGAACUUUGUCAAAAGAAACCACAUUUGUUCCGGACCUGGGAUGCCUUCCGGACCUGGGAUGCCUGUCUUCUGAUGGAGAUAAUCAAAGGUUCCCUUGGAGAGUUCAUCAAUGAGCUUGACGCCUUGAUAAGUUCCUUUCCUGAAGAUGGCUCACCUCUCACAGUUCUGGACCAUUUCCGGAGACCUUCUCCCUUACCUCACCUCGCUCAUCAACUCAUCCUUGACCGCUGGCUACGUCCCUUCCGUCUUCAAGAGAGCGAGAGUUGCACCCCUUCUGAAAAAACCUACACUCGAUCCCUCCGAUGUCAACAACUACAGACCAGUAUCCCUUCUUUCUUUU